Molecule: ribosomal RNA, 520 nt
Filed under: uncultured Glomus
Lineage: Eukaryota; Fungi; Glomeromycota; Glomeromycetes; Glomerales; Glomeraceae
Description: SSU rRNA
Rfam family: Eukaryotic small subunit ribosomal RNA
Source: RNAcentral
AGCAGCCGCGGUAAUUCCAGCUCCAAUAGCGUAUAUUAAAGUUGUUGCAGUUAAAAAGCUCGUAGUUGAAUUUCGGGGUUAGUAGGUUGGUCGUGCCACUGGUACGUACUGGUCUCACUAAUUCCUCCUUCCUGAUGAACUGUAAUGCCAUUAAUUUGGUGUUGCAGGGAAACUGGACUGUUACUUUGAAAAAAUUAGAGUGUUUAAAGCAAGCUAACGCUUGAAUACAUUAGCAUGGAAUAAUGAAAUAGGACGUUCGAUCCUAUUUUGUUGGUUUCUAGGAUUGACGUAAUGAUUAAUAGGGAUAGUUGGGGGCAUUAGUAUUCAAUUGUCAGAGGUGAAAUUCUUGGAUUUAUUGAAGACUAACUACUGCGAAAGCAUUUUGCCAAGGAUGUUUUCAUUAAUCAAGAACGAAAGUUAGGGGAUCGAAGACGAUCAGAUACCGUCGUAGUCUUAACCAUAAACUAUGCCGACUAGGGAUCGGAUGAUGUUAAUUUUUUAAUGACUCAUUCGGCGCCUU